Molecule: transfer RNA, 72 nt
Filed under: Hynobius nebulosus (clouded salamander)
Lineage: Eukaryota; Metazoa; Chordata; Amphibia; Caudata; Hynobiidae
Description: tRNA-Glu
Rfam family: tRNA
About the family: Transfer RNA (tRNA) molecules are approximately 80 nucleotides in length. Their secondary structure includes four short double-helical elements and three loops (D, anti-codon, and T loops).
Source: RNAcentral
UAAGGUUUUUAUAGUUGAAUACAACAUUGGCUUUUCAAGCCAGAAGUUUCGGUUAAAAUCCGGGUAAAAAUA